GAAUAACCUAGAAGUUGACAUCAUGUUUGGUUAGCGACAUAAAGAAUGUUUCAUUCUUGUUAAUGUAGAAAGUAAUUACAUGAUAUUAUCUGUAAUUUCGGUAAUAAUGAAUUAUCUUGCUUGCAAUCUGGUAUAUGUUUGGUUAAAUUGUCAAGAAUAUGAUUGAUAGAAUUCAUCGUGAUAAUUGAUACCUGCAGUCUAUUGAUAUUUAUUGAUUAUUGAGCAAAUAGCAUGAGUAGUUUACUUUUA
Molecule: long non-coding RNA, 249 nt
Filed under: Ananas comosus (pineapple)
Lineage: Eukaryota; Viridiplantae; Streptophyta; Magnoliopsida; Poales; Bromeliaceae
Description: long non-coding RNA (ACOM_LNC037321)
Source: RNAcentral